ACCGCGCGCAGUGGGUAGCCCGGGGCAACCAGGACGCCGCUCCAGGAAGCACUCCUCACUCACUGGUCGCUGUGAUUUGAGGCAUCCUGCCAAGGCGGCGGCGGCUGAAGGUACCCGGAACUCUGAAAAUGGGAUCUUUCAGACUCAGAGAUGGAACCCGGGUCCCCUGCGCUGAAGGCCAUCUGCUUCAUUGCAGGCAGAUUCUUUACCGACUGAGUCACCAGGGAAGCCCCUGUUAAGCAGGAAUUUUGUUUUCAAGGUUCAUGCAUGUUAUAGCAUGGUAUAUGAGUACUUCAUUCUUUUAUGUAAUGGAAUAAUACUACAUUUUACAAAUAUUACAAAAGAGUCAACAUGACUUAAUGACUAAACAAAGAGAGGUCUGCCUUCUGCCCUACUUGGCUUUGGGUGGCAAUAUCUAAGCCUAUCAGUGUUAUUCCUCACAGGAAUGUCUUUGUUUGCCUGGGGAUAUUUUAGUCACUAUUCAAAUAGUCAAUAUAGGUCCAUCUCGUCAAACCUAUGGUUUUUCCAGUAGUCGUAUAUGGAUGUGAGAGUUGGACUAUAAAGAAAGCUGGGCACCAAAGAAUUGAUGCUUUUGAACUGUAGUGUUGGAGAAGAUUCUUGAGAGUCCCUUGGACUGCAAGGAGAUCCAACCAGUCCAUCCUAAAGGAAAUCAGUCCUGAAUAUUCGUUGGAUGGACUGAUGCUGAAGCUGAAACCCCAACACUUUGGCCACCUGAUUUGAAGAACUGACUCUCUUGAAAAGACCCUGAUUCUGGGAAAGAUCGAAGGCAGGAGGAGAAGGGGACAACAGAGGACAAGAUGGUUGGAUGGCAUCACUGACUCAAUGGACAUGAGUUUGAGUAAACUCUGGGAGUUUGCGAUAGACAGGGAGGCCUGGCAUGCUCCAGUCCAUGGGGUUGCAAAGAGUCGGACACGACUGAGCGACUGAACUGACUGAACUGAUAGUCAAUAUAGUAAUUUAGGUUGGGGCUGGCCAUGUCACAAAGUCUAGCAAUGUCAUUUAGGAUAAGGACUUUGGGUCACAUGGUAUUAGCUCAACCUCCUAAGGGGUUAAAAACUGAGAUCAGGCACAUGGGCAGUCAGCAGUGUCUAUGUAAUAGAACCACAGUAAAGAUUCUGGAUGCCAAGGCUCAGGUGAGCGUCUCUGGUUGGCAAUUCCAUGCAUAUUGUCAUAUAUCGUCCCUGGGAGCAGCUAAGCCUGUCCGUGAUUCUUCAGGGAGAGGAUCACUGGAGGCCCUGCAUUUGGAACCCUCCUGGACUCUAUCCUGUGACUGAUUUUAAUCUGUAUCUUCUUCCUGGAUAACUUUGGGUGUAACAACUUUCAGUGAGUUUGGUAAGUCCUUCUUGCAAAUUAGUUGGGGAUCCCUAGAUUUGCAUUUGGUGUCAAAAGUAAACAUGGUCUUGGGGAACCCUUAAACCCUGCAAUGAUGUCAGAAAUAAAGGUGGUCUCUUGGAGACCAUUUCUCAGAUUUUGCAGCAUUUAUGUUCAUGGGAUAUAUUUGUCUAUUAUUUCCCUUUCUUGUAAUGUCUUUUUCUAGUUUGGUGUCAGAGAAAUGAUUCCCAAAAGGAAUUGGGAAUAUUCCUUCUUCUCCUGUUUUCUCAAAAAAUUUAUUUAGGAUUACUGUCUUUCCACCUUCAAUAUUUGACAGAAUUUGCUGGUGAACUAAUCUGGACUUGAAGCUUUCUUUGUGGGAUGGUCUUUAAUCAUAAAUUCAAAUAAUUUUAUAUCAAUAUGGCUACUCAUAUUUUCUAUUUCUUUGUUAGUUUGGUAAAUUGUCUUGCUAAAGAUGAGAAAAUUGCCCAUUUUAUCUAAGUUGUCAAAUAUAAGUUGGUAUAGAUGUGUGAAUAAUAUUCUCUAUUCAAUAUCUGUAGGAUCUGUACUGACGGCUCUUUUUCAUUUAUCAUGGGGGUAAUUUCUGUUUUUUCACUUUUUUAAAAAUUAAAUAAACAAAUCAUUUAAAUAAAU
Dama dama (fallow deer) is the source of this 1986-nucleotide long non-coding RNA. RefSeq lists it as uncharacterized. The record is from RefSeq and is a predicted model, not a curated record. Lineage: Eukaryota; Metazoa; Chordata; Mammalia; Artiodactyla; Cervidae. The transcript has 3 exons.